UACGUAGGGUCCGAGCGUUGUCCGGAAUUACUGGGCGUAAAGAGCUCGUAGGUGGUUUGUCGCGUUGUUCGUGAAAACUCACAACUCAAUUGUGGGCGUGCGGGCGAUACGGGCAGACUAGAGUACUGCAGGGGAGACUGGAAUUCCUGGUGUAGCGAUGGAAUGCGCAGAUAUCAGGAGGAACACCGGUGGCGAAGGCGGGUCUCUGGGCAGUAACUGACGCUGAGGAGCGAAAGCGUGGGGAGCGAACAGG
RNAcentral lists this ribosomal RNA (253 nucleotides) under uncultured bacterium. Its description in RNAcentral is "partial 16S ribosomal RNA". It matches the Rfam family "Bacterial small subunit ribosomal RNA", at positions 524 to 776 of the family's 1533-position model. The record is from RNAcentral.